This 512-nucleotide ribosomal RNA is filed under the name uncultured bacterium. Its description in RNAcentral is "partial 16S ribosomal RNA". It matches the Rfam family "Bacterial small subunit ribosomal RNA", at positions 28 to 526 of the family's 1533-position model. The record is from RNAcentral.
GACGAACGCUGGCGGCGUGCCUAAUACAUGCAAGUCGAGCGGAUCUUCAUUAGCUUACUUUUGAAGGUCAGCGGCGAACGGGUGAGUAACACGUGGGCAACCUGCCUGUAAGACUGGGAUAACUUCGGGAAACCGGAGCUAAUACCGGAUAAUCCUUUUCCUCUCAUGGGGAAAAGCUGAAAGACGGUUUCGGCUGUCACUUACAGAUUGGCCCGCGGCGCAUUAGCUAGUUGGUGAGGUAACGGCUCACCAAGGCGACGAUGCGUAGCCGACCUGGGAGGGUGAGCGGCAACACUGGGACUGAGACACGGCCCAGACUCCUACGGGAGGCAGCAGUAGGGAAUCUUCCGCAAUGGACGAAAGUCUGACGGAGCAACGCCGCGUGAGCGAUGAAGGCCUUCGGGUCGUAAAGCUCUGUUGUCAGGGAAGAACAAGUACCGGAGUAACUGCCGGUACCUUGACGGUACCUGACCAGAAAGCCACGGCUAACUACGUGCCAGCCGCCGUAAUAC